RNAcentral lists this transfer RNA (76 nucleotides) under Deefgea chitinilytica. Its description in RNAcentral is "tRNA-Val". It matches the Rfam family "tRNA". From Rfam's summary of the family: Transfer RNA (tRNA) molecules are approximately 80 nucleotides in length. Their secondary structure includes four short double-helical elements and three loops (D, anti-codon, and T loops). The record is from RNAcentral. RNAcentral also lists the same sequence under 1 other name. Lineage: Bacteria; Pseudomonadati; Pseudomonadota; Betaproteobacteria; Neisseriales; Chitinibacteraceae.
GGGUCGUUAGCUCAGUUGGUAGAGCGUCUGCCUUACAAGCAGAAUGUCGGCGGUUCGAUCCCGUCACGACCCACCA